AUUGAACGCUGGCGGCAUGCUUUACACAUGCAAGUCGAACGGUAGAGGGGGCAACCCCUUGAGAGUGGCGAACGGGUGAGUAAUGCAUCGGAACGUGCCCAGUCGUGGGGGAUAACGCAGCGAAAGCUGUGCUAAUACCGCAUACGAUCUCUGGAUGAAAGCGGGGGACCGAAAAGCCUCGCGCGAUUGGAGCGGCCGAUGUCAGAUUAGGUAGUGGGUGGGGUAAAGGCCUACCAAGCCAACGAUCUGUAGCUGGUCUGAGAGGACGACCAGCCACACUGGGACUGAGACACGGCCCAGACUCCUACGGGAGGCAGCAGUGGGGAAUUUUGGACAAUGGGCGCAAGCCUGAUCCAGCAAUGCCGCGUGCAGGAAGAAGGCCUUCGGGUUGUAAACUGCUUUUGUACGGAACGAAACGGUCUGGGUUAAUACCCUGGGCUAAUGACGGUACCGUAAGAAUAAGCACCGGCUAACUACGUGCCAGCCGCCGCCGUAA
This 496-nucleotide ribosomal RNA is filed under the name uncultured bacterium. Its description in RNAcentral is "partial 16S ribosomal RNA". It matches the Rfam family "Bacterial small subunit ribosomal RNA", at positions 30 to 523 of the family's 1533-position model. The record is from RNAcentral.